This is a long non-coding RNA of Wasmannia auropunctata (little fire ant), 1784 nucleotides long. RefSeq lists it as uncharacterized. The record is from RefSeq and is a predicted model, not a curated record. The transcript is spliced from 2 exons. NCBI's taxonomy places the organism in Eukaryota, Metazoa, Arthropoda, Insecta, Hymenoptera, Formicidae.
UCGGCGUUCGGGGCCCCGGCCGUUGAGUCGUGUUGUGCAUUGCCAUCAUCAUCGUCGUCGUAGUCGUCGUCGUCACUGCCGUCGCUGCUGCUGCUCUCGCAUUGCUGUUAAAUAAGAAUAAGCCCGGUCCCCCACUACUUGGGGCCCAAAACGAAUAAAGGAGGCGGGACACCUGGCUGUGGUCGCAGUUUGCUCGAGGACCUCGCCGCCGCCGGUCAGCUUUUCGUCUACCAAAGAAGUCUCUCCCUUUCCGCUCCGAGUCUCGUCAGAUCCUUGUUCGUCCUCUUAGCGCGUGCAUUCCUAGAUUUCUCCUAGUCUCCCGUAGUCUCUCGUAGUGUUGUGCAGUGGACAUCGAGGAAGACUACGGAAAGCAUCCCUGAGGAAGAUUGACAAUAUAAAAAAUUCGGAGAAAGAUGAGACGCCGAUACAAAGAGAAGAAAGGGAAACGGAGAGUGAUCUAUCGCGAGUGAUGGACGACGAUCUAACGACGCGCCCGAUUUAUUUCCUGCGUGUGACGCACCUCGAUCGAGCGCGCCGCCCGGCACGUCACGUGCCGAAGAACAUACGACGAUCGAAGAGGAAGAUGAAGAUGAAGAGGAGGCAUUGUGGUGCGAGGAUCGAGAGCCGCGUCACGGCGGUUUGACACGGCGAUGAUCGACGUCGGCGGCGUCGAUCCGCAUCUCCGCAUCUCUGCAACACACCGGACGCCGCGUGAGUGACCAGCGUGGAAUUUCACCGGGAAGAGGAAGCGAUACGGACGGCACACGAGAACGUGUUCGUUGCUGGCUAGGACCUAUAGGUAAGGUUCGUGACGCUUCCGGAGGAACGAGCCACGUGGUCGGGCGACGAGAGUUGCCUUCGACGGGUUCGGCCCUGGGCUUCGACUCGCACGAUCCUGCAUCGCAAAUUGGAGCGGAAUGACUACCGUCGAGUCGAAAAGUAUAUAUCGUCGUCGGUGUUCGGCCGAUUCGUCGGCGCCCCGGAGACCGAACGACGCUACAAUGUUGCAUAAAAGAUAGGUCGAGAUAUGUGUCAAUAUUCAAUGGGAAUAUAUUUCACAAUAUUGCACUAGUCCCGGCCUAUCGGGAUGCAUUAUAUUUCGUCGAGGAGCGAAACAAAGGGGAAACCGAUGGGCGGACAGGUGGGAAAAGGAGAGAGAGAGGAAGAGUGGGAGAGAACGCUAUUUGGGAGGAAUUUGCCUCCUCGAGAAUAGCCGCGUUCGCGGUAGAAGAUCUUUCGAGGCUCGGGCAGGUGGAGAUGGGGGCAAUAUUUGUGAAUAGUUAAAAUCCAAAUUGCACUCGUCCCGGCCUGCUGGAUCUCCUCGACAUAUCGACGUGUUGGCCGAUUUCCGAUAAGGGUCUUGAUAGAAAAGCAUAUCCGGUGAAACCAGAUCUCGGUAGUUUUUUUUUUUACAUUAAUUCGCAACACCGGAAAGUCGUGAGUACCGGUUUGUAAAUUUAGUCAGUUUCACUUUCGAGAUUCGAAGAGAUUUUUUACACUAUAACAUUUUAUGGUAUUAAUACACGGGAUGUCUUAUUGAUUUUUAUUGUUGUAAUAUGUAUGUUAUACAACGCAAUGUUUUAAUUUUCCAAUUGUAGCAACAUUGAUUAUCAUUAUUGUUAUUGUCUUAAUGUUAACUACGUAAUUCUUUCAAUUCAUGUUUAAGCUACACAGAUGUAAAAACAAAGAAUGCCUUUUGUAUUUUGUAAAAGUGACAUUACUGCAUAAAGAUAGAAAACAAUAAAGAUUCAAUAAAAUCACGUACAAUCGCCUCGAAUAUGAAA